RNAcentral lists this ribosomal RNA (426 nucleotides) under uncultured bacterium. RNAcentral's name for it is "bacterial SSU rRNA". It matches the Rfam family "Bacterial small subunit ribosomal RNA", at positions 958 to 1393 of the family's 1533-position model. The record is from RNAcentral.
AACGCGAAGAACCAGGCCUUGACAUGCAUCUCUAAGUUGGUGAAAGCCAGCGAGUCUCGCAAGAGAACCGGAACACAGGUGCUGCAUGGCUGUCGUCAGCUCGUGUCGUGAGAUGUUGGGUUAAGUCCCGCAACGAGCGCAACCCUUGUCAUUAGUUGCUACGCAAGAGCACUCUAAUGAGACUGCCGGUGACAAACCGGAGGAAGGUGGGGAUGACGUCAAGUCCUCAUGGCCCUUAUGGGUAGGGCUUCACACGUCAUACAAUGGUCGGGACAGAGGGUCGCCAACCCGCGAGGGAGAGCCAAUCUCAGAAACCCGAUCGUAGUCCGGAUCGCAGUCUGCAACUCGACUGCGUGAAGUCGGAAUCGCUAGUAAUCGCGGAUCAGAAUGUCGCGGUGAAUACGUUCCCGGGUCUUGUACACACGC